GACGAACGCUGGCGGCGUGCCUAACACAUGCAAGUCGAGCGGAGAUGAUGUGAGGAAGUUUUCGGAUGGAAUCACAUUAUUUUAGCGGCGGACGGGUGAGUAACGCGUGAGCGACCAACCUUGCACAGGGGGAUAACGGACCGAAAGGUUCACUAAUACCGCAUGAGACCACGGUGUUGCAUGACACAGGGGUCAAAGGAGCAAUCCGGUGCAAGACGGGCUCGCGUCCGAUUAGGUAGUUGGAGGGGUAACGGCCCACCAAGCCUAUGAUCGGUAGCCGACCUGAGAGGGUGAUCGGCCACAUUGGAACUGAGAUACGGUCCAAACUCCUACGGGAGGCAGCAGUGGGGAAUAUUGGGCAAUGGGGGAAACCCUGACCCAGCAACGCCGCGUGAAGGAAGAAGGUUUUCGGAUUGUAAACUUCUGUCCUUGGUGAAGAGAAGAAGACGGUAGCCAAGGAGGAAGCCCCGGCUAACUACGUG
This 482-nucleotide ribosomal RNA is filed under the name uncultured bacterium. RNAcentral describes it as "bacterial SSU rRNA". It matches the Rfam family "Bacterial small subunit ribosomal RNA", at positions 28 to 507 of the family's 1533-position model. The record is from RNAcentral.